RNAcentral lists this small nucleolar RNA (142 nucleotides) under Drosophila ananassae. RNAcentral describes it as "snoRNA:GF26071". Lineage: Eukaryota; Metazoa; Arthropoda; Insecta; Diptera; Drosophilidae. The record is from RNAcentral.
GCAACUUCUACCCAUUGGUUGGUCGAAUUAAUCCCUUUUUCGACACGACUAAGAUUCAAAGUUGCAAAAUAAAAGGCCAGACUUGACUUACCAUGUACUAGACUGCCCUCCAGGUCAGUGCAGAAGUAGAAGAGUCACAAUG